GAGUUUGAUCGUGGCUCAGGACGAACGCUGGCGGCGUGCCUAAUACAUGCAAGUAGAACGCUGAGGUUUGGUGUUUACACUAGACUGAUGAGUUGCGAACGGGUGAGUAACGCGUAGGUAACCUGCCUCAUAGCGGGGGGAUAACUAUUGGAAACGAUAGCUAAUACCGCAUAAGAGUAAUUAACACAUGUUAGUUAUUUAAAAGGAGCAAUUGCUUCACUGUGAGAUGGACCUGCGUUGUAUUAGCUAGUUGGUGAGGUAAAGGCUCACCAAGGCGACGAUACAUAGCCGACCUGAGAGGUGAUCGGCCACACUGGGACUGAGACACGGCCCAGACUCCUACGGGAGGCAGCAGUAGGGAAUCUUCGGCAAAUGGACGGAAGUCUGACCGAGCAAACGCCGCGUGAGUGAAGAAGGUUUCGGAUCGUAAAAGCUCUGUUGUUAGAGAAGAACGUUGGUAGGAGUGGAAAAAUCU
Molecule: ribosomal RNA, 475 nt
Filed under: uncultured microorganism
Description: bacterial SSU rRNA
Rfam family: Bacterial small subunit ribosomal RNA
Source: RNAcentral